ACGGGAGGCAGCAGUGGGGAAUAUUGCACAAUGGGGGAAACCCUGAUGCAGCGACGCCGCGUGAGUGAAGAAGUAUUUCGGUAUGUAAAGCUCUAUCAGCAGGAAAGAUAAUGACGGUACCUGACUAAGAAGCCCCGGCUAACUACGUGCCAGCAGCCGCGGUAAUACGUAGGGGGCAAGCGUUAUCCGGAUUUACUGGGUGUAAAGGGAGCGUAGACGGUUUUGCAAGUCUGAAGUGAAAGCCCGGGGCUCAACCCCGGGACUGCUUUGGAAACUGUAGAACUAGAGUGCAGGAGAGGUAAGUGGAAUUCCUAGUGUAGCGGUGAAAUGCGUAGAUAUUAGGAGGAACACCGGUGGCGAAGGCGGCUUACUGGGCUGUAACUGACGUUGAGGCUCGAAAGCGUGGGGAGCAAACAGGAUUAGAUACCCUGGUA
This 434-nucleotide ribosomal RNA is filed under the name uncultured Lachnospiraceae bacterium. RNAcentral describes it as "partial 16S ribosomal RNA". It matches the Rfam family "Bacterial small subunit ribosomal RNA", at positions 341 to 792 of the family's 1533-position model. Lineage: Bacteria; Bacillati; Bacillota; Clostridia; Lachnospirales; Lachnospiraceae. The record is from RNAcentral.